CCUACGGGGGGCAGCAGUGGGGAAUAUUGCACAAUGGGGGAAACCCUGAUGCAGCGACGCCGCGUGAGUGAUGAAGUACUUCGGUAUGUAAAGCUCUAUCAGCAGGGAAGAAAAUGACGGUAGCUGAUCAAGAAGCCCCGGCUAAUUACGUGCCAGCAGCCGCCGUAUUACGGAGGGGGCAAGCGUUAUCCGGAUUUACUGGGUGUAAAGGGAGCGUAGACGGCAGCACAAGACUGGGGUGAAAUGCCGGGGCUUAACCCCGGAACUGCUUUGGAAACUGGGCAGCUAGAGUGCGGGAGAGGAAAGUGGAAUUCCUAGUGUAGCGGUGAAAUGCGUAGAUAUUAGGAGGAACACCAGUGGCGAAGGCGACUUACUGGACUGUAACUGACGUUGAGGAGCGAAAGCGUGGGGAGCAAACAGGAUUAGAUACCCGGGUAGUC
RNAcentral lists this ribosomal RNA (440 nucleotides) under uncultured bacterium. RNAcentral's name for it is "partial 16S ribosomal RNA". It matches the Rfam family "Bacterial small subunit ribosomal RNA", at positions 338 to 795 of the family's 1533-position model. The record is from RNAcentral.